RNAcentral lists this ribosomal RNA (137 nucleotides) under uncultured eukaryote. Its description in RNAcentral is "partial 18S ribosomal RNA". It matches the Rfam family "Eukaryotic small subunit ribosomal RNA", at positions 1299 to 1458 of the family's 1831-position model. The record is from RNAcentral.
UGGUGGAGUGAUUUGUCUGGUUUAUUCCGAUAACGAACGAGACUCUGGCCUGCUAACUAGUGACUGAAUCUUCAUUCGUUCACGUCGCUUCUUAGAGGGACAAACGGCGUAUAGUCGUAUGAAAUAGAGCAAUAACA